UUUCUUACCUGACAGUUGGAAUACCAUGAUCAAGAAGGUGGUUUCCCCAGGAUGAGGUGCUUCCACUGCAGUUUUCAGUCGGGUAGACCCCUGUUAUUUCCCAAAAUGUGGGAAUCUCAACUGAAUAAUUUAUGGAAGUGUGGAACUGCAUACAUGCAGUUCUUUU
Molecule: small nuclear RNA, 166 nt
Organism: Protopterus annectens (West African lungfish)
Lineage: Eukaryota; Metazoa; Chordata; Ceratodontiformes; Protopteridae
Product: U1 spliceosomal RNA
Exons: 1
Source: RefSeq, a predicted model, not a curated record